GUUCUAAGUAAUGGAUUUUAGACAAAAUAAAGAAAAAAAAAAAAGGUUCUCCCAGGGCGAGGCUCAUCCAUUGCACUCCGGGUGUGCUGACCCCUGCGAUUUCCCCAAAUGCGGGAAACUCGACUGCAUAAUUUGUGGUAGUGGGGGACUGCGUUCGCGCUCUCCCCUG
This 169-nucleotide small nuclear RNA is filed under the name Erpetoichthys calabaricus (reedfish). RNAcentral describes it as "U1 spliceosomal RNA (ENSECRG00000013775.1)". It matches the Rfam family "U1 spliceosomal RNA", at positions 28 to 166 of the family's 166-position model. Rfam says of the family: U1 is a small nuclear RNA (snRNA) component of the spliceosome (involved in pre-mRNA splicing). Its 5' end forms complementary base pairs with the 5' splice junction, thus defining the 5' donor site of an intron. The record is from RNAcentral. Lineage: Eukaryota; Metazoa; Chordata; Cladistia; Polypteriformes; Polypteridae.